This 968-nucleotide long non-coding RNA is filed under the name Cyanistes caeruleus (blue tit). RNAcentral describes it as "lncRNA (ENSCCEG00000019794.1)". Lineage: Eukaryota; Metazoa; Chordata; Aves; Passeriformes; Paridae. The record is from RNAcentral.
UUCCCCCAAAAUCCCCCCAAAAAUCCCCCAAAAUUCCCAAAAAUCCACAAAAAUCCCCCAAAAUUCCCCAAAAAUUCCCAAAAAAUCCCCCAAAAUUUACCAAAAUUCCCAAAAAUUCCCCAAAACCCCCCCAAAAUCCCCAAAAACCCCCCAAAAUCUCCCCAAAAUUCCCCAAAACCCCCCAAAAUCUCCCCAAAAUUCCCCUCCCCAGGUGCUGACGGUGGCGGCCACGGAGCCCCUGACCCUGGAGCACUCCAGACCCCCCCAAAAUUCCGGGACCCCCCAAAAUUCCGGGACCCCCCAAAAUUCCGGGGCCCCCCCGGAAGCUGGGAGGCCCCAAAACCCGGCCUGGAGCCCGAAUGCCGGGAAUUUGGAGGUGGAUUUUGGGAGGAUUUACGAAUUCCUGGCCAGGAUCGGAGCGGGGGGGGAGGGGCCCCCCCUGCCCCCCGCAGAGUCCGCCGUGCUUUUGGCCCUGCUGGGAUCGCUGCGGGCGCAGCUGGGAGCGCUGGGAGCACUGGGAGCACUGGGAUCGCUCCGGAAUCACUUCCGGGGGCUCUGGGGGUCCCUGCGGGGCCCCUGCCCCCCCCUCAACCCCUUCCUGCUGCCACUGGCCUUACUGGGAGCACUGGGACGGGGGGCCUGAGGGGGGGAGGGGCGCAAUUCACGGGGGGUUUGGGGGGGAAAAUCCCGGAGAGAAUUCCUGGGAAUCCUCGGGAAAAUUCCUGAAAAAAAUUCCCAAAAAAUUCCCCCAAAAUUUCCCAAAAAAUCCCCAAAAAACCCCAAAAAUUCACAGAAAAAAUUCCCCAAAAAUUCCAAAAAAAUUCCCAAAAAUUCCCUCAAAAAUUCCCCAAAAAAAUUCCCAUGGAAUCCCCGAAAUCCCGGGAAUUCACCCCAGAAAAAAUCCCGGGAAAAUUCUGCCCCCGGGGGGAGGGGAAAUUUUUAAGGGGAUGCGGGGAAUGUGGCGGUGA